RNAcentral lists this ribosomal RNA (410 nucleotides) under bacterium enrichment culture clone ALO1_GLFRUDD03F6LJL. RNAcentral's name for it is "bacterial SSU rRNA". It matches the Rfam family "Bacterial small subunit ribosomal RNA", at positions 9 to 420 of the family's 1533-position model. The record is from RNAcentral. RNAcentral also lists the same sequence under 22 other names.
GAGUUUGAUCGUGGCUCAGAUUGAACGCUGGCGGCAUGCCUUACACAUGCAAGUCGAACGGCAGCACGGGAGCUUGCUCCUGGUGGCGAGUGGCGAACGGGUGAGUAAUGCAUCGGAACGUAUCCUGGAGUGGGGGAUAACGUAGCGAAAGUUACGCUAAUACCGCAUAUUCUGUGAGCAGGAAAGCGGGGGACCUUCGGGCCUCGCGCUCUUGGAGCGGCCGAUGUCGGAUUAGCUAGUUGGUGAGGUAAAGGCUCACCAAGGCGACGAUCCGUAGCAGGUCUGAGAGGAUGAUCUGCCACACUGGAACUGAGACACGGUCCAGACUCCUACGGGAGGCAGCAGUGGGAAUUUUGGACAAUGGGGGCAACCCUGAUCCAGCCAUGCCGCGUGAGUGAAGAAGGCCUCGG